UCGUUCAACAAAAAGAUCUAUUUCGCUUUCAGAAUCUACGACUGUGAGGAUUGAAUUUAAAUUUGGCAACACAAAGACAAUAUACUCGUGAAUUAUACUCGUCGAUUAUAAAUUGAUUUUACUUUACGUAGAAUCUCAAUCAUAAUUCUCCAUUCAAAAUGUUUUCAUGGGGAAUUCUCAGUUUAAACGAAUCUAUGAAUAUUUUUAAUGUAGAGAAUACGAUAGAAAUUCUCAAUUUAAAUAAUUUCCUUCUAUUCAACUAUGACUCGUUCUAACGAUGACUCAAAAAUGACUGUAUUCCUUUGUUAAAUCUAUUCCAUUGUCACCACACUUUAGAACAAAUAUAUUGUACACUUUGGAAUUGAUAUAUUCGCGUGCAUAAAAAUACAACAGUGAUUCACAAUUAAUCUCACAAGGAUUAUCAUAAACUAAUGAUUCAUCAGAAAAUGAUACUUCUUCAUACCCGCGGGUAAUCUAUAUUGCUCCAAGAUCCUGUAAAAUGCUAUUCAGGCGACAAUUUCAAUUUCUACAAAACGUUCAUUAAUUUUCUUAUUCCCAACGAUAAAUGGACAAGAUUGCCUCGCAGUAUUCUUAGCUAUUCAAGUUAUCUGUUAGAUACCGGUGUCUUCCUUCGCUGUUUCAUUUAUACAGUGACUCAAUCCUAUUCAGAAUUUCAGCAAACGACGCGAUAAAGUACCGCAAAAAUGUCUGCCAAGCAGCCAUCAUGCUAGUUCACUCCAAGUAGCGUCCUACGAGUGCCGAGAUCUUUCAUGCUCAAGAGGAUCGGACGAAGAUCAGGCUGAACUCGUCGGAGCCCGCAGUUUACUCACAACGUCGCUGAUAUUUUCGGGGAACGCCUCGAGGCCCUGUCUCGCGCACAUGACAGUUCUCGGCUGUUGGCCCAAGUAGCAGGAGCAUCUCCUCGGGCAGACGGUUUGGCAGACCGCCGAAGUGAGCAGAACCGAGAACGUGGCUGCUAAUGUGACCAAACACCUGCCCGUCGUAAUCCGUUUCUCCAUGUUCACUGCUAUAGGACACGAUCCCUAUGGAAAUCACAUUUUCAUCGAAACGAAGACACUGGUGAAAAAGACGGCUUUGGCCUAGGAUCGAUGGCCCCGACAGUGCUUGGAACCGUCCUGAAAACUACUGAGUACUUAUCUUUGAUAAGUAACGCGGGAUAUACCGCACGAUAUCUCAGCAAGAUAACUCGACCGCGCGGCGAGGUGAGCGCAUUAUUCCCCGCCGCGAACGAAAGAAUUGGAUAGGGGGCAGACGGGUGUCCGAGCUGGAAAUUGGUGGUUUAUUCGUUUUUAAGAGGGUACGAGUGGAUCGGAAAUCGCGAUUGAUGGACUUUGGUGUUAUCUAGUAAAGCUUUUACUAUAUAGGUAUACACAAGUACAUAUAUAAAGGUAGAAUUCAAGAUGUUAGAUACUCUGUUUGUUUAAGUGAGACUAUCCGUUUUACUACACUCUGUUUUUGUUAGUAAUUCGGCUUGUGUAGAAUUUUAUUUUGGUGUAAGAUCA
Long non-coding RNA from Hylaeus volcanicus, 1523 nucleotides. RefSeq lists it as uncharacterized. Lineage: Eukaryota; Metazoa; Arthropoda; Insecta; Hymenoptera; Colletidae. The record is from RefSeq and is a predicted model, not a curated record. The transcript has 4 exons.